This 31-nucleotide non-coding RNA is filed under the name Homo sapiens (human). The record is from RNAcentral. Lineage: Eukaryota; Metazoa; Chordata; Mammalia; Primates; Hominidae.
GACUGUGAUGAGCCAGGGCAGCUUUUCUGGC